Molecule: ribosomal RNA, 253 nt
Filed under: uncultured bacterium
Lineage: Bacteria
Description: partial 16S ribosomal RNA
Rfam family: Bacterial small subunit ribosomal RNA
Source: RNAcentral
UACGAAGGGGGCUAGCGUUGUUCGGAAUUACUGGGCGUAAAGCGCGUGUAGGUGGCGAUGUAAGUCGGGUGUGAAAUCCCUUGGCUUAACCAAGGAAGUGCACUCGAUACUGUGUCGCUUGAGUACCGGAGGGGAUGGCGGAAUUCCCGGUGUAGAGGUGAAAUUCGUAGAUAUCGGGAGGAACACCUGUGGCGAAGGCGGCCAUCUGGACGGUCACUGACACUGAGACGCGAAAGCGUGGGUAGCAAACAGG